UAGUUGGUGGGGUAACGGCCUACCAAGGCGACGAUCAGUAGCCGGCCUGAGAGGGUGACCGGCCACACUGGAACUGAGACACGGUCCAGACUCCUACGGGAGGCAGCAGUGGGGAAUAUUGCACAAUGGGCGAAAGCCUGAUGCAGCGACGCCGCGUGAACGAUGAAGGCUUUCGAGUCGUAAAGUUCUGUUCUUGGGGAAGAUAACGACGGUACCCAAGGAGAAAGCACCGGCUAAAUACGUGCCAGCAGCCGCGGUAAUACGUAUGGUGCAAGCGUUGUCCGGAAUUACUGGGCGUAAAGAGUUCGUAGGCGGUUAGAUUAGUCAGAAGUGAAAGGCUACGGCUCAACCGUAGUAAGCUUUUGAAACUGUCUAACUUGAGUACUGGAGAGGAAAGCGGAAUUCCUAGUGUAGCGGUGAAAUGCGUAGAUAUUAGGAAGAACACCAGUGGCGAAGGCGGCUUUCUGGACAGUAACUGACGCUGAGGAACGAAAGCGUGGGGAGCGAACAGGAUUAGAUACCCUGGUAGUCCACGCCGUAAACGAUGAGAACUAGGUGUUGGGGGUCGAACCUCAGUGCCGCAGCUAACGCAGUAAGUUCUCCGCCUGGGGAGUACGAUCGCAAGAUUGAAACUCAAAGGAAUUGACGGGGGCCCGCACAAGUAGCGGAGCAUGUGGUUUAAUUCGAAGCAACGCGAAGAACCUUACCAGGUCUUGACAUCCCUCAGACCGCUUCAGAGAUGAGGCUUUCUCUUCGGAGACUGAGGUGACAGGUGGUGCAUGGUUGUCGUCAGCUCGUGUCGUGAGAUGUUGGGUUAAGUCCCGCAACGAGCGCAACCCUUGUCUUUAGUUGCCAUCAUUUAGUUGGGCACUCUAGAGAGACUGCCGGUGACAAACCGGGGGAAGGUGGGGAUGACGUCAAAUCAUCAUGCCCCUUAUGACUUGGGCUACACACGUGCUACAAUGGCUAGUACAGAGAGCAGCUAAACCGUGAGGUCAAGCAAAUCUCUUAAAGCUAGUCUCAGUUCGGAUUGCAGGCUGCAACUCGCCUGCAUGAAGUUGGAGUUACUAGUAAUCGCAGAUCAGAAUGCUGCGGUGAAUGCGUUCCCGGGCCUUGUACACACCGCCCGUCACACCACGGGAGUUGGUAAUACCCAAAGUCGCCGGACUAACCUUCGGGAGGUAGGCGCCUAAGGUAGGAUUGAUAACUGGGGUG
Molecule: ribosomal RNA, 1215 nt
Filed under: uncultured bacterium
Lineage: Bacteria
Description: bacterial SSU rRNA
Rfam family: Bacterial small subunit ribosomal RNA
Source: RNAcentral